GGGGGAUAAAUUAAUAAAGUAUAAAUAAUAAAAAAAUUUUUAAUAUUAAAAUAUUUUAAUGGGGGUUAAAGUAUAUUUAAUAGAAAAAAUAAAAAAAUUUAUAGAAAAUUAGUAUUGUAAAAGAAAUUUGAAAUAAAUUGAAAAUAAAUUUAUUUUUAAGUAAAUUUAAUUUAUUGUAUCUUGUGUAUCAGAGUUUAUUAAUAAUAAUUUUUUUUUAAAAAUUUCUCGAAUUUAAAAGAGAUAAUUAGUUAUUAAAGUUAAUGUUGUAUAAUUAUUUUAAAUAAUUAAUUUGAAAUGAAAUGUUAAUCGUUUUUAAAUAUAUCUAGUUUUUUUAGAAAAAAAUUUAAUUUUAAAUUUUAAAAAAUAUAAUUUUAAUUAAUUAAAAUUAUAUUUUUAAAAUUAAAUAUUUUAAGGGAUAAGCUUUAAAAUAAAUUUUUAUAAUAAAUUUUAAUAAUAAUUAAGAUUUUUAAAAUUUAUAUUGUUUAUAAAUUAUAAUUUUUUAUAAAUAAUUUUAAUUAAAUUAAAAUUUUAAAAUUUAUUUAAUUUUUUAUAAAAAAAUAUUUUUUAAUAAUUAAAAUUUAGAUAUAAUGAUAAAAUUAGUAUAUAAAUAAAUAAAUAUAGUUUAUUAUUUGAUAAUUUAAAAAAAGGAAUUCGGCAAAAAUUUAUAUUCACUUGUUUAUCAAAAACAUGUCUUUUUGAUUAAUAAUUUAAAGUCUAAUCUGCCCACUGAUAAUAUAUUAAAGGGCUGCAGUAUUUUGACUGUACAAAGGUAGCAUAAUCAUUAGUCUCUUAAUUGGUGACUUGUAUGAAAGAUUUGAUGAAAUAUAUACUGUCUUUUUUUAAUUUAUAAAAUUUAAUUUUUUAGUUAAAAAGCUAAAAUAAAUUUAAAAGACGAGAAGACCCUAUAGAGUUUUAUAUUUAUAUAAAUUAAAAUUUUUUAUAAGAUUUAAAAUUUUAAUUUAUGUAAAUAUUUUAUUGGGGUGAUAGAAAAAUUGGAAUAACUUUUUUUAUAAUUUUACAUUAAUAAAUGAAUAAAUGAUCCGUAAUUUACGAUUAUAAGAUAAAAUUACCUUAGGGAUAACAGCGUAAUUUUUUUUUUUAGUUCAAAUAAGAAAAAAAGUUUGCGACCUCGAUGUUGGAUUAAGAUAAAAUUUAAAUGCAAAAGUUUAAAAUUUUUGAUCUGUUCGAUCAUUAAAAUCUUACAUGAUCUGAGUUCAAACCGGUGUAAGCCAGGUUGGUUUCUAUCUUUAGAUUAAUAAAAUAUUUUAGUACGAAAGGAUCAAAUAUUUAAAAUAGUUUUAUUUAAAAGAAUUUUAAUAAUAAUAAAUAUUUUUAAAUAUG
RNAcentral lists this ribosomal RNA (1341 nucleotides) under Parnassius apollonius. RNAcentral describes it as "16S ribosomal RNA". The stretch from base 1077 to 1236 matches the Rfam family "Eukaryotic large subunit ribosomal RNA", at positions 2825 to 2984 of the family's 3401-position model. Lineage: Eukaryota; Metazoa; Arthropoda; Insecta; Lepidoptera; Papilionidae. The record is from RNAcentral.